RNAcentral lists this long non-coding RNA (826 nucleotides) under Homo sapiens (human). Its description in RNAcentral is "non-protein coding lnc-LONP2-6:5". The record is from RNAcentral. Lineage: Eukaryota; Metazoa; Chordata; Mammalia; Primates; Hominidae.
UCUUUCCACCCGAGCGCGAGGUAGACGCCGGGGCCACCCGCAGCACGCAGAGCUUCUGGGAGCCGGUGGCAAGGCCGAAUUGGGAUGCAAACCAAAUGGACGUGGGUGACUGGCAGAAAACGCCUCCCACAAAUGGGAGGGAUUUCGGAGGGAACCGAAAGAAAGUUGGAAACCAAGUUACAGCUGAAGCCAGGGCCUUCUCCUACCCGACUCCCGCGGCCCAUUAAAACCUACGUGAGCUUAUCUGAUACCUUCAAGCCCUGUUUUGUGGCCCCAUCUCCUCUUCAGAUGGCAAUGUGCCUAGCUACACUACAUUUCCUGCCUCCCUUGCAGCUAGAGGUGGCCAAUGAGAUAUAAACAGAUGCUGUAAGACAUGAUGUCUAGAUCCCUAGCAGUCAUCCCAGACCAUGAGAUAACUUUGAGAAGGAACACCAUGUACAAAGGACUGUGCAGAAGAGGGUUGGCAGGAGCCUGGAUCUCUGAUGACUUCACCCUUGACUGCCCACCUCACCAGGCUGUACAAGCCACUGUUACUGGCAGAUGAAUGCAAGUUCUAAAACAUACAACUACUGACCUACUGAAUUUUCCAAGGAGCACAUUUCCACUGGAGACAUUUGGUGCCUGCAGAAAAUACUUACUGAGGAAUUUCUAUGGGACCAGCCUGAAGUAGAAGCCACUGAAGAGAGGCCCUGAAGCAGCUUUUCUUCCUUAUCCCAGAGACCAACAUGGUUACCCCAGCCCAGAGUCACCCUCCUUCCUCUAAGCUGUCAAAACCCUGGCUGCCUUUACAAUGAUUCUGACAAUGAAUCCCACCCUGCUGGUGAUG